AUUCGGUGGGCGGAACAUAUACUAAAAUUGGAACGAUACAGAGAAGAUUAGCCUGGUCCCUGCGCAAAGACGAGCAUAUAGUACCACAACUUUAAUUUU
Molecule: small nuclear RNA, 99 nt
Filed under: Glossina austeni
Lineage: Eukaryota; Metazoa; Arthropoda; Insecta; Diptera; Glossinidae
Source: RNAcentral